RNAcentral lists this ribosomal RNA (441 nucleotides) under uncultured Prevotella sp. RNAcentral describes it as "bacterial SSU rRNA". It matches the Rfam family "Bacterial small subunit ribosomal RNA", at positions 355 to 794 of the family's 1533-position model. Lineage: Bacteria; Pseudomonadati; Bacteroidota; Bacteroidia; Bacteroidales; Prevotellaceae. The record is from RNAcentral.
UGAGGAAUAUUGGUCAAUGGGCGAGAGCCUGAACCAGCCAAGUAGCGUGCAGGAUGACGGCCCUAUGGGUUGUAAACUGCUUUUAUAAGGGAAUAAAGUGGGUCACGUGUGACUUUUUGCAUGUACCUUAUGAAUAAGGACCGGCUAAUUCCGUGCCAGCAGCCGCGGUAAUACGGAAGGUCCGGGCGUUAUCCGGAUUUAUUGGGUUUAAAGGGAGCGUAGGCCGGCUGUCAAGUCAGCGGUAAAAAUUCGGGGCUCAACCCCGUAAAGCCGUUGAAACUGGCGGUCUUGAGUAGCGGCGAGGCAUGCGGAAUGCGAGGUGUAGCGGUGAAAUGCAUAGAUAUCACGCAGAACUCCGAUUGCGAAGGCAGCAUGCCAGCCGCCGACUGACGCUGAGGCACGAAAGUGCGGGUAUCGAACAGGAUUAGAUACCCUGGUAGU